Molecule: ribosomal RNA, 549 nt
Filed under: uncultured marine eukaryote
Lineage: Eukaryota
Description: SSU rRNA
Rfam family: Eukaryotic small subunit ribosomal RNA
Source: RNAcentral
AACCUGGUUGAUCCUGCCAGUAGUCAUAUGCUUGUCUCAAAGACUAAGCCAUGCAUGUCUAAGUAUAAGUAUUAUACAGCGAAACUGCGAAUGGCUCAUUAAAACAGUUAUAAUUUAUUUGAUAAUCGAAUUUACAUGGAUAACCGUGGUAAUUCUAGAGCUAAUACAUGCUGGUAGGCCCGACUUUUUGGAAGGGCGGUAUUUAUUAGAUAACAAACCAAUAUUCCUCUGGUCUAUUGUGGUGAAUCAUAAUAACUGAUCGAAUCGCAAGGUUUUUAACCGCGAUAAGUCAUUCAAGUUUCUGCCCCAUCAGCUUUCGAUGGUAGUGUAUUGGACUACCAUGGCUUUUACGGGUAACGGAGGAUUAGGGUUCGAUUCCGGAGAGGGGGCCUGAGAAACGGCUACCACAUCUAAGGAAGGCAGCAGGCGCGUAAAUUACCCAAUCCUGACUCAGGGAGGUAGUGACAAGAAAUAACGGACCGAGGCCUUCGGGCUUCGGGAUUGCAAUGAGCCGAAUUUACACCCCUUAGCGAAGAUCGAUUGGAGGGC